CAGGUUCGGGUCGAACGCAGUGAGACAACGGAGCCGCUUGCGGCGACGGCCCGAAGGGCGAGGCGAAGUCGAGUCAUCCUGCACGACCCACCA
Molecule: small RNA, 93 nt
Filed under: Klebsiella quasipneumoniae subsp. similipneumoniae
Lineage: Bacteria; Pseudomonadati; Pseudomonadota; Gammaproteobacteria; Enterobacterales; Enterobacteriaceae
Description: partial RtT sRNA
Rfam family: RtT RNA
About the family: This family represents a bacterial cis-regulatory element known as RtT RNA.
Source: RNAcentral